AGAAGGAACACAACCAGGAUAGUCCCUGUGCCUCAGUUUCUCCUUUGCUGUGUGCCUGGCACUGCUACAGGGAAUAGGGUGGUUCUGGAGGGGAAGGUAAACAGCAACUUAACGGAUACAUAGCAUCGCUUCAUGUACUAAGUGGAGUGAAGAUAAUAAACAGGGUAAAGGGAGAGAGGGCUGUGGAAUGCAGAGGUCUGGUGGCUUAUGUGUUAGUAAAAGCAGAAUCU
This 230-nucleotide long non-coding RNA is filed under the name Homo sapiens (human). Its description in RNAcentral is "non-protein coding lnc-DNAJC25-1:2". The record is from RNAcentral. Lineage: Eukaryota; Metazoa; Chordata; Mammalia; Primates; Hominidae.